This 253-nucleotide ribosomal RNA is filed under the name uncultured bacterium. RNAcentral describes it as "partial 16S ribosomal RNA". It matches the Rfam family "Bacterial small subunit ribosomal RNA", at positions 524 to 776 of the family's 1533-position model. The record is from RNAcentral.
UACGGGGGGGGCAAGCGUUGUUCGGAAUUACUGGGCGUAAAGGGCUCGUAGGUGGCCAACUAAGUCAGACGUGAAAUCCCCAGGCUCAACCUGGGAACUGCGUCUGAUACUGGAUGGCUUGAAUUCGGGAGAGGGAUGCAGAAUUCCCGGUGUAGCGGUGAAAUGCGUAGAUAUCUGGAGGAAUACCGGUGGCGAAGGCGGCAUCCUGGACCGAGAUUGACACUGAUGAGCGAAAGCGAGGGGAGCAAACGGG